UUAAGGCAGCAAGCUGACUUGUCUGGGGUCUGUCAUUAACAAGAGCUGGGCCAUGGCUGCAGGCUUGGCAGAAGCCAUGUGAGAGGAGACUGGGCUCUGGGCCUUCCCACCAAGCGCAUCCCAGGCCAGAGGCAUCUCCCAGAGAAAACAGUCACAUUGGCACUGUGGCUUUGGAUCCAGACUGUUGUGGCUUUGAUGACCACAAUAUUGUUUCUGGGAUGUGGAGAUAAGGAUCAGAACGCUGCACUCUGUACCUCACUGAGAAUGCCUGUGACCACUGGCUGGAUAGGGGACACCUUCAUAUUUAACAG
RNAcentral lists this long non-coding RNA (311 nucleotides) under Homo sapiens (human). RNAcentral describes it as "HSALNT0198128". Lineage: Eukaryota; Metazoa; Chordata; Mammalia; Primates; Hominidae. The record is from RNAcentral.